RNAcentral lists this unclassified non-coding RNA (167 nucleotides) under soil metagenome. Its description in RNAcentral is "partial contains 5.8S ribosomal RNA, internal transcribed spacer 2, and large subunit ribosomal RNA". The record is from RNAcentral.
AACGGUCUAUACCUGCGGUACCUGCGGAGGGAUCAUUAGUGAACGCCCUCACGGGCUUAUAACUAUUCCAAACCUCUGUGGACCGUGCCCUUCGGGGCUAUUUUACAAACAUGGUGUAAUGAACGUCAUAUAUCAUAACAAAACAAAACUUUCAACAAUGGAUCUCU